CGGAGCCCGGGGGCAGGUCCUGGAGGAGGGGGCGGGGCUGGGUCGGCGCCCGGGUGCGUCCCCGCCCCUCCCCUCCGGGCCGUGUUUGGGCAGCCACGGGGCUGGCAACGUCUCCAGGGGAAAGGCUGUUGUUUCCCUGAGCGGCCUUGGCGCGCCCCGCGGGCUGCUGAGGUCCUUCGGAAGGUUGAGGGUAAACUUUUCAAGUCCAAGGCAGAGAUUUGGUUCUCUUAAGUUUCCCUGGGACACAAUGUGGGCUCUCAGUUUUCAGACUGAACUCCAGGUUCCUUGAAAUUCCUUUAGAAGAGUAUGUUAAGAGUGAUGCUAGCUGCUACAACAGAUAAGCUCCUGCUUCUCCAGGGUUGACAUUCCCAUCGCAGUCAUGGUCCCUGCCUUCCUCUCCACCAGCUGGCAGAUGGGAAAGAGAAUGAGAAAGGUUGUUAUGGGCCCAGCCUGGAAAUGCCACACAUCCCCUCUGCCCAUAUACCACUCUCUGGAACUCAGCCACGUGGCCACACCUGGCUGAUCAAGAAGCAGGACCACGUAGCUCACCUCUGUGACCAGGAAGAAGAGGAAAUGGGCGUGGAGAGUAUUUAACAAGUCUCUGACACACACAAAAAAUAAGGAUUUUACAACUGGUAAUUACAAUAAAUGUUAAAAUGUAAAUUAAUAUCCACAGGAUAUCAAGAAAUGUGAUGACCUAAUUCUAUUAGCCACUUUCUAAAGAAUUGAGAAAUUCAAUAAAUUCACACUUUGUUAUGAUCAGUAUUUGGUCAAAGACAAAUAGCACCAUCACAGAAUAAACUUAGAAAUUCACGAAUAAA
RNAcentral lists this long non-coding RNA (821 nucleotides) under Equus asinus (donkey). RNAcentral's name for it is "lncRNA (ENSEASG00005033655.1)". Lineage: Eukaryota; Metazoa; Chordata; Mammalia; Perissodactyla; Equidae. The record is from RNAcentral.